CCUACGGGAGGCAGCAGUGAGGAAUAUUGGUCAAUGGACGGAAGUCUGAACCCGCCAUGCCGCGUGCAGGAAGACGGCUCUAUGAGUUGUAAACUGCUUUUGUACAAGGGUAAAUCCGAAUACGUGUAUUCAGCUGAAAGUACCGUACGAAUAAGGAUCGGCUAACUCCGUGCCAGCAGCCGCGGUAAUACGGAGGAACCAAGCGUUAUCCGGAUUUAGUGGGGUUAAAGGUUGCGUAGGCGGUUUGAUAAGUUAGAGGUGAAAUGUCCGGGCUCAACUCAGGAACUGCAUCUGAUACUGGUGGUCUAGAGAGUAGAUGCGGUAGGCGGAAUGUAUGGUGUAGCGGUGAAAUGCAUAGAGAUCAUACAGAACACCGAUUGCGAAGGCAGCUUACCAAGCUAUAACUGACGUUGAGGCACGAAAGCGUGGGGAGCAAACAGGAUUAGAUACCCUUGUAGUC
This 460-nucleotide ribosomal RNA is filed under the name uncultured bacterium. RNAcentral's name for it is "partial 16S ribosomal RNA". It matches the Rfam family "Bacterial small subunit ribosomal RNA", at positions 338 to 795 of the family's 1533-position model. The record is from RNAcentral.